This 541-nucleotide ribosomal RNA is filed under the name uncultured Gallionellaceae bacterium. RNAcentral's name for it is "bacterial SSU rRNA". It matches the Rfam family "Bacterial small subunit ribosomal RNA", at positions 135 to 671 of the family's 1533-position model. The record is from RNAcentral. Lineage: Bacteria; Pseudomonadati; Pseudomonadota; Betaproteobacteria; Nitrosomonadales; Gallionellaceae.
AAUGGGGGAUAACGUAGCGAAAGUUACGCUAAUACCGCAUAUGCCCUGAGGGGGAAAGUGGGGGAUCGCAAGACCUCACGUUUUCGGAGCGGCCGAUAUCGGAUUAGCUAGUAGGUUGGGUAAAGGCUGACCUAGGCGACGAUCCGUAGCUGGUCUGAGAGGACGGCCAGCCACACUGGGACUGAGACACGGCCCAGACUCCUACGGGAGGCAGCAGUGGGGAAUUUUGGACAAUGGGGGCAACCCUGAUCCAGCCAUGCCGCGUGAGUGAAGAAGGCCUUCGGGUUGUAAAGCUCUUUCGGACAGAAAGAAAUCGCCAUUCCUAAUACGAGUGGUGGAUGACGGUACUGUAAGAAGAAGCACCGGCUAACUACGUGCCAGCAGCCGCGGUAAUACGUAGGGUGCGAGCGUUAAUCGGAAUUACUGGGCGUAAAGCGUGCGCAGGCGGUUUUGUAAGACAGGCGUGAAAUCCCCGGGCUUAACCUGGGAACUGCGUUUGUGACUGCAAAGCCAGAGUGUAGCAGAGGGGGGUAGAAUUCCA